This 253-nucleotide ribosomal RNA is filed under the name uncultured bacterium. RNAcentral's name for it is "partial 16S ribosomal RNA". It matches the Rfam family "Bacterial small subunit ribosomal RNA", at positions 524 to 776 of the family's 1533-position model. The record is from RNAcentral.
UACAGAGGGGGCAAGCGUUGUUCGGAAUUACUGGGCGUAAAGGGCGCGUAGGCGGCCUGCUAAGUCGAACGUGAAAUCCCUGGGCUCAACCCAGGAACUGCGUCCGAUACUGGUUGGCUUGAAUUCGGGAGAGGGAUGUGGAAUUCCAGGUGUAGCGGUGAAAUGCGUAGAUAUCUGGAGGAACACCGGUGGCGAAGGCGACAUCCUGGACCGAUAUUGACGCUGAGGCGCGAAAGCCAGGGGAGCAAACGGG